Molecule: long non-coding RNA, 2161 nt
Organism: Balaenoptera ricei (Rice's whale)
Lineage: Eukaryota; Metazoa; Chordata; Mammalia; Artiodactyla; Balaenopteridae
Exons: 2
Source: RefSeq, a predicted model, not a curated record
GCACGAUGGCGUGCUGGGGUUUGGCUUAGCCCGCUGAAGUUUGCAGCCUUGCAAUUGAUCCGCGCUACACCCCGUUCAGCAGUAAAGCUACACCAGUCUAUUGGCCCUGACGUGAGGCGGGCAGAGAUGACGUAGCGGGAACUGUUUUGGACGUUUGUUUUGUUUUGUUCGGUACUUCGGAACAUCUACUUUAAUGGGACCACUUUUGGUCCCAUUGCUAGGAAGUACUAUUCAAAAGGUCGUAAUACCGCCGUUCGGAAGAAAGACAACUAAGUAAUUGAGAAAAUACCGCCUCUUGAAUAUAGCGGUGGAAAUAGAUGAGGUAGUAAGAAUUGAGUAUCAUAUCACACAAGAGCCUAAAGACCUAUGCUCAAUGAUAAAGAGGCUAUUGCCAGAGAGAUUGAAAAGUAUCAGGAAGCUGACAGAGAUAACAGAAAUUUGCAAACCUCAUAGGUCACUAAAUGGAAUUACUGAAGUUAACGCAAAACAAGAGAAAUUUUCAUGCAGAAAAAAAAAGAAAAGAAAUCAAGUAAAGUAAAGUGAAGAAGAGAGACCUAGAGCACCUGCCCAGGAGAUAAAAUCUACGCAGAAUAGGAAUACCUGAAACAGAGGACAAAGCAAAUGAAGCUGAAACUAUAAGGAACUAACUGAAGAAAAAUGUCCGGAGUUGAAGAAGGAACUAGAUCUGCAAAUUGAAAAAGUUCACAGGGUACCAUUAAAAUUUAAUGAAAAGAAAGCAACACCCAGACAUAUCCUGGUAAUAUUUUUUAAUUGGAAGGAUAAAUAAAAAAUUCUACAAGUAUCCCAGACAGAGAAGGCAAGUUACUUAUAAAGGGGCAAAGUUAGGCUGACCUCACAUUUUUCUCUUGCAACUGUAAAUGCCAGAAAACAGUGGAACAAUAUCUACAGUUUUAAGGGAAAAUAAUUUUGAACCAAUUAUAUACCCUGCCAAAUUAUUUCUGUACCAAGGCAACUGGAAGACAUUCACAGAUACGCAGGGGUUGAGAAAGUAUAUCUUUCAAGUACCAUCCUUGAAAAAUUUGCUGAAUAAUGUACUGCAGCCAACAAAGAACAUGAAUUAAAAUAACUUAAAAGUAAGGAGGCAAUUGUAUGAAAAAAUUAGUGGUAAGCAUUAGUUAAACAGCAUUAAGGUUACAUUGUUAGGUAGAGUUAUAGAACUAAAUGCUAAAAUUUGUAAGUUGGGUUUAAAAUUUCAGUUUAUAAACUGUGAAAAGGCAGGCUAAACGUUCAAUAUAUAGAGCAAAUAAAUACUGUUUUAUUUUUAGCAUGCAAUGUAGACAAAGAUACUCAUGUUCUUAAGCCAAACAUAAGUAAAAUAAAAGGACUUUGUCACUGUGCACAGAACCUGUAGAAUAAAGGCAUACCAAAUGUUAAUCUGGCAAAAUGGGAAAACCAGUCAGUACAGUUUUGUUUUCCCUAGUUUUAAUUAUAGAAAGGGGAAAAGUAGCAAAUUUGUCUGUAAUGCUAAUACUGGUAGUGUAAAAAGAAAAUUUUUUAAUUACUCAUUGGAGAGAUCGUGAAUUAAAACCUUGUUUUAUGUGCAUCUUGCCUACAGAAAAUCAAUACCUACUGCUUCAUGUAGUAGUAGAUCAUUGUAAGUAAAUUUGACAAUGAGAUGUGUUACAAAUAAAAAUAGAGCACAUAUUCCAAUUGGGUUGUAGAGGAAGUGGUGAAAAACAACAAGGAAGCAUUAAAAUUGGCAUAAGAUAGAUUGACAUAGGUACUGAUGAGUCAUCACACUCCUAAACUGGUUAAAUAGUCCUAUUUAAAGAGAUUAAAAUUGGGUCAAAAAUCAAUCUAUAACCCUGGAUACUCACAUUUGUAUAAAGCAAAGGAUAAAAGAGUUUAAAGAUAAUGGAAAUGAUAAGUCAUAGAAAUGGAAGUAGGGAGCAAUAUUUUUAUUAGAACUCAAGCUAUAACAUAUUUAUAAAACAUACAGUACAGGUGGUAACAUUUAAGAGGCUUUAUGUGGCAAAUAACAUGGCAUUCAUAUGUAAAAUAAAUGUUCAAUACCUUCAUGUGAAUGAUAGUUUUACUGAUGUAUAUAUGUUUUUAAAAAUUGUAUUUAAAAUUAGUACAUUUUAUGUACUUAAAAUUAAUAAAGUAAUCCUUUAAUUAAAGAAAAUACACAUGGCAAAAA